UACGUAGGGUGCAAGCGUUGUCCGGAAUUAUUGGGCGUAAAGAGCUCGUAGGCGGUCUGUUGCGUCGGCUGUGAAAACCCGGGGCUCAACCCCGGGCCUGCAGCCGAUACGGGCAGACUAGAGUUCGGCAGGGGAGACUGGAAUUCCUGGUGUAGCGGUGAAAUGCGCAGAUAUCAGGAGGAACACCGGUGGCGAAGGCGGGAUCCUGGGCCAGUACUGACGCUGAGGCGCGAAAGCGUGGGGAGCAAACAGG
RNAcentral lists this ribosomal RNA (253 nucleotides) under uncultured bacterium. RNAcentral's name for it is "partial 16S ribosomal RNA". It matches the Rfam family "Bacterial small subunit ribosomal RNA", at positions 524 to 776 of the family's 1533-position model. The record is from RNAcentral.